This 540-nucleotide ribosomal RNA is filed under the name uncultured archaeon. RNAcentral's name for it is "bacterial SSU rRNA". It matches the Rfam family "Archaeal small subunit ribosomal RNA", at positions 457 to 997 of the family's 1478-position model. The record is from RNAcentral.
GGCAGCAGCCGCGGUAACACCGGCAGCUCUAGUGGUAGCUGUUUUAUUGGGCCUAAAGCGUUCGUAGCCGGUUUGAUAAGUCACUGGUGAAAUCCUGUAGCUUAACGUGUGGGAAUUGCUGGUGAUACUGUUGAACUUGAGGUCGGGAGAGGUUAGCGGUACUCCCAGGGUAGAGGUGAAAUUCUGUAAUCCUGGGAGGACCACCUGUGGCGAAGGCGGCUAACUGGAACGAACCUGACGGUGAGGGACGAAAGCUAGGGGCGCGAACCGGAUUAGAUACCCGGGUAGUCCUAGCCGUAAACGAUGCGGACUUGGUGUUGGGAUGGCUUUGAGCCGCUCCGGUGCCGAAGGGAAGCUGUUAAGUCCGCCGCCUGGGAAGUACGGUCGCAAGACUGAACUUAAAGGAAUUGGCGGGGGAGCACCACAACGCGUGGAGCCUGCGGUUUAAUUGGAUUCAACGCCGGACAUCUCACCAGGAGCGACAGCUGUAUGAUUACCAGGCUGAUGACCUUGUUUGACUAGCUGAGAGGUGGUGCAUGG